Molecule: ribosomal RNA, 543 nt
Filed under: Botryosphaeria dothidea
Lineage: Eukaryota; Fungi; Ascomycota; Dothideomycetes; Botryosphaeriales; Botryosphaeriaceae
Description: eukaryotic LSU rRNA
Rfam family: 5.8S ribosomal RNA (bases 181-334)
Source: RNAcentral
CCGAGUUGAUUCGGGCUCCGGCCCGAUCCUCCCACCCUUUGUGUACCUACCUCUGUUGCUUUGGCGGGCCGCGGUCCUCCGCGGCCGGCCCCCCUCCCCGGGGGGUGGCCAGCGCCCGCCAGAGGACCAUCAAACUCCAGUCAGUAAACGAUGCAGUCUGAAAAACAUUUAAUAAACUAAAACUUUCAACAACGGAUCUCUUGGUUCUGGCAUCGAUGAAGAACGCAGCGAAAUGCGAUAAGUAAUGUGAAUUGCAGAAUUCAGUGAAUCAUCGAAUCUUUGAACGCACAUUGCGCCCUUUGGUAUUCCGAAGGGCAUGCCUGUUCGAGCGUCAUUACAACCCUCAAGCUCUGCUUGGUAUUGGGCACCGUCCUUUGCGGGCGCGCCUCAAAGACCUCGGCGGUGGCGUCUUGCCUCAAGCGUAGUAGAACAUACAUCUCGCUUCGGAGCGCAGGGCGUCGCCCGCCGGACGAACCUUCUGAACUUUUCUCAAGGUUGACCUCGGAUCAGGUAGGGAUACCCGCUGAACUUAAGCAUAUCAUA